UGUCAAAGUAAUAAUGACAUACUUGAU
Molecule: small RNA, 27 nt
Filed under: Bombyx mori (domestic silkworm)
Lineage: Eukaryota; Metazoa; Arthropoda; Insecta; Lepidoptera; Bombycidae
Description: ovarian small RNA-35560
Source: RNAcentral